GCAGGCUUUUUCUCAGCCCCUUCUUUGGACUCGUGACAGGGGCAAACGUUUACUCAGCCCACCACGCUCAGCCCCUUGCGUGAGGGAGCAUGUGAACGAGCGAGUGCAGGACCCAGCCGGCCGCUCUGGGAGUCGACACAGGAGAAGGCUUCAUGCACAGCCAGACCAGGCAUGAGCCAGCGAGUGCGGGACCCGGCCGGCUGCUCCAGGCGCCGCACAUGGGCAGACUAGGUACAGCUUGUGAUCCUGUCAUGGAUUGUAUCAGCCAAGGAGACUGGAUUAACUCACAUACCUAGGCAUUUAUGGCUCUGAAGUGAGCCAGUGUUCAAAAAGCGUCCUGAGGACAGAUGGAGUUGCUUGACCCACAGGUGGAUGAGCUUCGCUGGAGCAGGAAGGCCCUGGUCCUGGCUGAAAGAACACCUAAGACCAAGGAGAGAAUGCAAAAUGAUGAAGCAGGAGCCUGCACCACAACCAGCAGCCAAUCAGAGAGGAAAAGGAACCAAAUGCUGGGCAAUCAAAUGCAAGAAAAAAAGCAGUGAGAUUUUUCAUUGAAAUAAAAAUGCAAAAAAAAAAACAAAAA
This 580-nucleotide long non-coding RNA is filed under the name Homo sapiens (human). Its description in RNAcentral is "HSALNT0151375". Lineage: Eukaryota; Metazoa; Chordata; Mammalia; Primates; Hominidae. The record is from RNAcentral.